AGCGAACGCUGGCGGCAGGCUUAACACAUGCAAGUCGAGCGCCUGUAGCAAUACAGGAGCGGCAGACGGGAGAGUAACACGUGGGAACGUACCCUUUGGUUCGGAACAACCCAGGGAAACUUGGACUAAUACCGGAUAAGCCCUAACGGGGAAAGAUUUAUCGCCAAAGGAUCGGCCCGCGUCUGAUUAGCUAGUUGGUGAGGUAACGGCUCACCAAGGCGACGAUCAGUAGCUGGUCGAGAGGACGAUCAGCCACACUGGGACUGAGACACGGCCCAGACUCCUACGGGAGGCAGCAGUAAGGAAUAUCCCCCAAU
Molecule: ribosomal RNA, 317 nt
Filed under: uncultured bacterium
Lineage: Bacteria
Description: bacterial SSU rRNA
Rfam family: Bacterial small subunit ribosomal RNA
Source: RNAcentral